CCGAAUCCUGACACAGGGAGGUAGUGACAAGAAAUAACAAUACAGGGCUACUUCUAGUCUUGUAAUUGGAAUGAGUACAACUUACAUCUCUUCACGAGGAUCAAUUGGAGGGCAAGUCUGGUGCCAGCAGCCGCGGUAAUUCCAGCUCCAAUAGCGUAUAUUAAAGUUGUUGCAGUUAAAAAGCUCGUAGUCGGAUUUCGGGGCGGGCCGAGCGGUCUGCCGAUGGGUAUGCACUGUUCGGCGCGUCCUUCUUUCCGGAGACUAGUUCUACUCUUAACUGAGCGGGACUGGGAGACGGAUCGUUUACUUUGAAAAAAUCAGAGUGUUUCAAGCAGGCAGCUCGCUCUUGCAUGGAUUAGCAUGGGAUAAUGAAAUAGGACUCUGGUGCUAUUUUGUUGGUUUCGAACACCGGAGUAAUGAUUAACAGGGACAGUCA
Molecule: ribosomal RNA, 436 nt
Filed under: Phaeocystis sp. JD-2012
Lineage: Eukaryota; Haptophyta; Phaeocystales; Phaeocystaceae
Description: SSU rRNA
Rfam family: Eukaryotic small subunit ribosomal RNA
Source: RNAcentral